AUCUACAGCCAUUGCCACCCUGAACAAGCCCGAUCCUGGCUGAUCUCGAAAGCUAAGCAGGGUCGGAGUUGGUUAGUACUUGGAUGGAAGACCACCUAGGAAGACUAGGUGCUGUAGGCA
Ribosomal RNA from Pteropus vampyrus (large flying fox), 120 nucleotides. NCBI's taxonomy places the organism in Eukaryota, Metazoa, Chordata, Mammalia, Chiroptera, Pteropodidae. The record is from Ensembl.